UAGGGAAUCUUCGGCAAUGGGGGGAACCCUGACCGAGCAACGCCGCGUGAGUGAAGAAGGUUUUCGGAUCGUAAAGCUCUGUUGUUAAGGAAGAACGAGUGUGAGAAUGGAAAGUUCAUGCUGUGACGGUACUUAACCAGAAAGGGACGGCUAACUACGUGCCAGCAGCCGCGGUAAUACGUAGGUCCCGAGCGUUGUCCGGAUUUAUUGGGCGUAAAGCGAGCGCAGGCGGUCAAUUAAGUCUGAUGUGAAAGCCCCCGGCUCAACCGGGGAGGGUCAUUGGAAACUGGUUGACUUGAGUGCAGAAGAGGAGAGUGGAGUUCCAUGUGUAGCGGUGAAAUGCGUAGAUAUAUGGAGGAACACCAGUGGCGAAGGCGACUCUCUGGUCUGUAACUGACGCUGAGGCUCGAAAGCGUGGGUAGCAAACAGG
Molecule: ribosomal RNA, 430 nt
Filed under: Bacteroidota bacterium
Lineage: Bacteria; Pseudomonadati; Bacteroidota
Description: Bacteroidetes bacterium partial 16S ribosomal RNA
Rfam family: Bacterial small subunit ribosomal RNA
Source: RNAcentral